CUAUGAACCCAAAAUAGCAAAAACAUUAGUUAAAAAGUUACAGAUCUGAGAAGAAAAUCAAAUGGGGUUUUUAGUUUAUGUAUUUCUAGUACCUCAGCAGCAAGGUAUUCAAGAACAACUGCGAGAUAAAUAGGAGCACCAGAUCCAACACGCUGAGCAUAACGACCCUUCUUCAAGUAACGAGCAAUACGACCAACUGGAAACUGAAGACCAGCUUUCACUGACCUAGCUACAGCCUUCUUCUUUGAGCCACCCUUCCUUCCUCCGGCACCUUUGGGUGUCGUAGUAGCAUCCAUUUCUGUCAACAACUAAAUGUUUUGAAGAGAAAAAUAGAGAAUAAGCUUUGAGUGGUUUUUGCCUUUGAGAUUUGAAAGCUGACGAAGAAAAUGGAACGGUGGAGUUUGACAUUUAUAGGAUAGAGAUGGAUUGCCACGCUGGCGAUCCGUGUGAGUGGUAUUGUUAUUUCACGGUGCGGAUUUGUUGUUUUAAUGUAAGAUCGGACGGGUACCAAAAGCUUCAGAUUUUUGUAAUUUUGACGCCAAUAUACUUGGGACUGAAUUUUUUUGGAGACACUACAAUUUGUUGAUUACAUUUCAUUUUAUAUGGUGAUUAAAAAAUUAUAAAUUAAAUAAUAAAUUUUAUCAUUUUAUAUUUUACUCAUAUUAAUUACUUCAACAACAUAUUCAAUGUUUUCCCAUAUAGUGGGAUCUGGGAGGGCAGAGUGUACGCAGAUCAUACCAUUUCCUUAGAUAAAAUAGAGAGGCCGUUUCCGAUAGACUCCCGGUUUAGGACCGAUAACAGUAUAACAAACAUCAAACAUAAAUACAUAUAAAUUAGUACAGUUUGUAAAAUAAACUAACGGCACUAGCCAUAAGAUAAUAUUACAACCACAGGAUAAUACUAAAAACUAUCUAUUCGAAAUCAUAGAUAUCACUCAAUACCAUGAACAAAAAAUUUCAGACACAAAUAAAGAACACUCCCCUACUUUUACCGACGCACUCCCACCCCCUAACUCUCUACCCCAAUUUGUGUUCUCCACAUCUUCCUAUCAAGGGUCAUAUACUUUGUAAAAUAUAACUGCUCCAUAUCAUACCUAAUCACCUCCCUCCAAUAUUUCUUCUAUCUACCUCUGUCCUGCCUAAAAUCAUCCAUAGCCAGUGUCUCACACCUCUGUACUAGAGCAUCAAAGCCCAUCUUCAUCACAUGCACGAACCAACGUAACCUUACUUCCGCAUCUUGUCUUCCACCGAGGUCACUCCCACCUUCUCCUGAAUAAUCUCAUUUCUUGCCCUAUCUUUCCUAGUUUCACCACACAUUUAUCGUAACAUCCUCAUCUCCGCCACCUUCAACUUUAGGAUAUGGAAGUUCUUAACUGGUCAACACUCCGUUCCAUACAAUAUAAACGGUCGGACUGUCACUCUCUAAAACUUUCCUUUAAUUUUCGGGGGCACCUUCCUAUCACAUAAAACUUUUGAAGCGAGCCUCUAUUUCAACCACUCAGCCCCAAUACGAUGCAUGACAUCCUUGUCAAUCUCAACAUUACCCUGAAUCAUAGACCUCAAAUACUUGAAACUCUCCUUCUUCUGAAUGGGCUAAGAGUUCAACUUCACAACCACGUCAGCCUCUUGUGACACAUCACUAGACUUACACUCCAAGUACUCUGUCUUGGUCUUGUUUAACCGAAAUCCUUUAGACUCAAAGGUCUGUCUCCAAAUCAUCAACUUAUCAUUAAUUUCUUCCCGAGUCUCGUUAAUCAAUACCACACUAUCAGCAAAUAACAUACACCAAGGCACCUCCCCUUUAAUAUGUCGCGUCAAAAUUUUCAUCACCAUAGCAAAUAAAAAGGGGUAAGAGUCGAUCCCUGAUGCAACCCUGUCAAAAUCGAAAAGUGCUCUGAAUCUCACCUACCGUCCUUACCCGAGUCUUUGCGCCUUCAUACAUAUCCUGAAUCGAUCCAGUGUAUGCCACAAGUACCCCUUUAACCUCCAAGCACCUCCACAGAAUCUCCCUGGGAAUUUUGUCAUAAGCCUUUCCAAGAUCAAUAAACAUCAUGUGCAAGUCCUUCUUCCUCUCCCGAAACUGCUCCACUAAUCUCCUCACAAGAUGAAUGGCCUCAGUAGUCUAGUAACCUGGCAUGAAACCAAAUUGGUUUUCAGAGAUAGUCACGCUCCUUCUCAACCUCAACUCUACCAUCUUUUCUCAAACCUUCAUAAUAUUACUCAACAACUUAAUACCUCUAUAGUUGUUGUAACUCUGAAUGUCUCUUUUGUUCUUAUAUAAUGGAAUCAUUGUACUCUACCUCCAUGCUUCAAGCAUCUUCACCGCCCUAAAAAUGAUGUUAAACAACCCUGGUAACCACUCCAAACCUGCCCCUCUAGUGUUCUUCCAAAAAUCCACUAGAAUCUCGUCUGGCCCUAUUGCUCUACCCCGACGUAUCUUGCGAAUAAACCCCUUGACCUCCUCAACCUCGAUACUCCUACAAUAACCAUAGUCGCAACACUCCUCAGAUUUCUCCAAGUCCCCCGACACGAAACCUUUGUCCCCCUUAUCGUUCAAAAGUUUAUGAAAGUAAGACUGUCACAUCUUCCUAAUGAGGGCAUCCUCAACUAACAUAGUACCAUCCACGCCCUUGAUGCACCUCUCUUUGUCAAAGUCACGAGCCCUUCGCUCCCUAGCCUUGGCAAGCCUAUACAAUUUUUUAUAUUAUAAUUGUUCAUAUUUAAUAUAUAUUAUUAAUUAUAGGGGUAAAUAUAAACAAAUUAACUAAUUUUGUCCUGAUUUAGGAAGUAAUCAACUACUCCCUCUGUUUCAUAUUAUGUGGUCCUUAUAAACUUGACACACCCAUUAAGAAAUCAAUAAAUAGAGAUUUGUUUUAUAUAUCUACCCUUAUAUGCCUUUUAAAGUGCAAUAGCUAAUGCAACAAUUAAAUAAUGAAAUUUGAACAUAUUACUCCAUCCUAUGCAUUACGCCUAGAACGUUGAAUAUUUAUAAUUGAAACUAGUAAUAAUCAUUUAAUGGGCGUUUGGUCAUGAAAAUUAAAACUUUUGAAGUUAAAUUUAGAGUUGAAGUUGGAAUUGAAGUUGGAGUUGCAAUUGUGUUUUUCAUGAAUAUAGUUGGAGUUGUUUUUGAAUUUUGUUGAGAGAGGGAUAUGGAAAAAAAUGAAAACAACUUUUUCUUGUUUUCCACUUUUUCAAAUCCAACUCAAGUUGUGUUUGAAAUUUUCAUGGCCAAACAUCAACUUGGAGUUGGAUUUGACAUAAAGUGAAUUUUUAUUUUUAUUUUUGAAAAAGUGAAAAAAUAUAAUGGUCAAACAGGCCCUUAAUUUUGGUUUGAGAAUUAAGAUCACUUAUGCACCAUUCAAUAAUUUUGAAAACUUUGAAUGUAUUUAAUACUCCUACCAAGUUAAGAAAGCCAACUAAUAUAAAUUGGAGUGAGUAAUAUGGGACAUUUAUUUUUGGCAGAAUACAUCGACACACCUCUUAACUUGACAUUAUUUUUUACUUUGGCACUUCAACUGAGUGGUGUCCAUUUUUAACACCUUAAGUAGUCAUCAACUGUGUCACUUUGACACAUUUUGCUGAUUUGACACAUCGUGUAUAUUGCACACACUUUGAGCGCGUGAAUAGCUUAAAAACUAUACUAAUUUUUAGUUUUCUUCUUCUUCUUUCUUUUGAUCUUCUUCAACACUUUUCUCCAUUUUUAUUCACCAACCACUCAACCCAACCACGAUUUCUUCCUUAAUGAUAGUCAAAAAUGGAGAAAAAUUAAUCUACCAUCACCUUCUUCUUUCAAUUUCUAUAAAUUCAUAAUUUUCAAUCUCUCAUUUUAGCUCAAUUUCUGCCUCAAUUUUAAGUUCAUUUAAUGAUGAAAAGUUUUGAAAUAGAGUUAGAGUUAACAUGAAAGAAUGAAUAGUGUCAAAUGCAAUUAGAUUGUGAAAAUUUCCACCAAUUUGAAAUCUCAAUAAAUUUUUAACAAUUUUUUUGGUGAUGAAUUCUUAACAGUUUUUUCUUUUUUCAAAAGAUGAUUGUGUAGUAGGAGGUAAUUGAAGAGAAGGUUUUAGAUGUGGGGAUGGGUAGGCAGAGGAGGUGAAACGGUGGUAGUAAUUGGAGAAGACUACCAAGGGGUAGGGAAGUGGGUGGGGUGGGGGUGGGGGUGGAUGAGGUGGAGAAGACAAAUUUGGUGAGGGUGGGGUAAUUAUAAUCUAUUUUUUUAUAAUUAUUUGGGUUAAAAAGUGUCAAGUGUCAAUAUUUAAUUGAAAUUUUUUUAUUUUAAUUAAAAUUAGUUGUUUAAAAAUUAAGUUGGAGAGAAAUGACAAAUGUCCGCAUUUUAUUCGUCAAUUUUAAUGUCAUUAGCGCAAAUAGCACACAUGUGGAGUAUUUUUUUGCUGGUUAUGAAAAAAGUGCUGAAAUGACACACUUGAGACUGCUUUAGUUGCUAAAAAUGUGCACCGUCCCCUUGAAGUGCCAAAGUGAAAGAUGGUGUCAAGUUAAGGGGCCUGCCGAUGUAUUCCGCAUUUAUUUUUAGUAAGAUGAUUAACUAAAAUGGGACGAAGGGAAUAGCAUAUAUGCUAAAAAAUUUAUCUCAAAAUUGUUGCUAAAACAUUGUUUCAAUAUAGUUAGAUUGUUUUAAAGAUCAACAGAUAAUUAACUAUUUCCCCCGUCUUAUAUUAGUUGUUGGCUAUUUUCUUUUAGUGGCGGAUCCAAGAUUUAAGGAUAGUGGGUACUUUUAAAAACUGAAAAAGUAAAAAACCAACUCAAUGAGGUUUGAAUCCGAGGCCUCCUUCCAAUGGGUGCUUUCAUAUGGUUUAUACCUAUUUUCAUAUAUUUUCUAUGUAAUUAUACUUAUUCCAUAUCGAGUUUAGUGGUGCUGCAGCACCCCCAAAAUCCUACAUAGGUCCGCCCCUGUUUUCUUUUUUAUACGCUUAUUAAGAAAUGAUAAAUAAAUAAAUUAAAAAGGCAUUUUUUACCAAUUCACCUUAAAAAACUUUUUAAAAACUUUACAAGUAAGUGUGAACACUUUAAAAAAAAAAAAAAUUGUUAGGAUAAUAUGAAAAAAUUUAAUUAAUGUUUUGUUGAUUUAGAAUCAUGGACAACUAAUAUACAACAACCAUUUUAGUAAUAUGAUCAACUAAUAUAGGACAAUUAUUUUAGUAAGAUGACCAAUUAAUAUGGAACAAAGAGAGUAUUUUUUGUUCAACUAUACCCUUAGAAAUUAAUUUUUAGAUUAAUUGAACAAGAUUCAAGUAAUCAAGAUUAAACAGAUAAUAUAGUCAUAUUACUCAAUCUAAAUCCCUUAUUAAUUUUUCUUAAGAGUUGUUCAAAUCUAUACAUGCCAACUAUCUUGAGACGAGAAGAGUAGUUGGAGAUUUUUGUCAAUAUACUUCGUGGACUCUGGUGUUUUGCCAUGCAGAUGUUCUACCAAAGUAUUUCAGCACUGAAUGGUUUUUGGACUGUGGCGCAGUCCCGCUUGCAAGAAGGUCUGCAGCACAUUGUGGCCUUUGGUCACCAAAAGAGUACGGUUGUGAUUCUUGGCAUGGAUGGCAGGUAAUUUUGUUAACAUAAGUACCUUUGGGAAGAAUCCUGGUGCGAGUGUGUCGCUUUGUAGUCUUUGUUUCUUUUUUCCAACAUUGUCCCAACUUUCGUGACAAGUGAAUUACAUCUUUGGAAUUGAACUACUAAUGCUUUGGUGCAUUGGAAAUGCAGUUUCUACCGAUGCCUGUUUGGUGCAGCAACUGGUGGGGAGAUGACCCUGUUCGAAUAUCAAUCUUGUUGCGUGCAUGUAACAGUUCCUUUUUCUAUUCACUGCCCUACUUCUGUGGCUUUUGUUUUUGCUGUAUCUAUUUAUGAAUUUGCAGGGGAACAUGGUAGUGACUGUAAAUAUGCUGGCUGUAUAGGUUGUUGGGUUCAUAGAAGUGUGAAUGAGAAAUAGAGAAGAAAUGGUGGAGGAAAAGGAGACACCAAAAUUGGAAAGUGUACUCCUAAUUUGGAAAGCUUACUCUUUCUCGCACAUUGGUGGAAGAAGAGAAUUUUUUAGUGCUUAUAUUGUGAAACACUUACUCCACAUGGUAAGUGAGGCAAGGAAAUAGAGAUGCCUCGCACCGUCGUCGCUCGCUUGGAUUUGAAUUUGGCAAAUGAUCGAUCGAUGAGAUCUAUCUUUUUGGAUAAAUUUUAUUUGACAAAAUCUGAACAAUGAUGAAAAACGCAGGAAAAUAUUUCUGAGUUUUAAUCCUUCAUUUACAUGCAGUAACAGUGACGCGAUGCUACUAUUUUAUGUGAACAGCAACACAGAACAGUUGCACUGCUUCGGAAAUGUUGCAUUGCUUCAGAACUGGUGCACUGUUUUAUGUUACUUAUUGCAUUGCUUCAGAACUGGUGCACUGUUUUAUGUUACUUAACUGAAAUGAUGCACUGGUUGAAUAAACAGAUGCAACCAUUCAGCAAAAGACACACUGAUUCAUCGAAAGAUAUAACUGUUCAGGAAAGGAUGCAAUCUUUGAUAAACAGACAUGAAUUUACAGCAAAGGUGCAACCUUUGGAGUGAACCAUUGCCUCCUUUCUAAAGCGGCAUCUUGUGGCUAUAAAUAACCUGGUUUUUAUCCACAGGUUAGAGAUAGAAAAUACAGAAAUUUUUAGAUUACAAAACAUUCUUAUUGUCUUAAAAAAUACUCCAAGUGUGAUCAUUCAAACCGUGAUUGUGUUCGAAGAAUCCGCCUAUUUAAGGUACCGCUAUAAUCGGAUUUAAGGUCAUUUUAUCCUGGAAGGAAGAUUCCAUAACCUCGGGUACAGUGAGGAGUAUUAAUCCUUAAGGAAAGUCCGUGAACUCGGACGAUUUGGCCUUAAUCAUUUCUGUUUCAUCUUUAUUUUCUGAAAAAUAAAUACACCUCUUGGAAAGGUCUUUUUGAUCUUGUGUUGAGGGUGUUUAAUACUUCAUUGUGUUCUUGUUCAUACUUGAACUCAAGUUGAAGUUGUUGUUCUGUGAUACAGAUUCUACAUACUCGUAUUGUGGAAAAUAACAUAGGUUACUGCUGUGUAUAAUGCCAGAUAACAAAAUCGCUAUGGACGUGUCUGUCAUCUUAGUGCUUGAAGUAUCUACUUAGUUUUGCUUGGGAACUAAACAAGUUGCUGCUUAAAGCCUGUCAAUUAUAUAAAGUUUUCAAUUUUAUACGUCUCAACUAUAGUCAACCUUCAGUCUUUCUAGUCCACAAUCCUGGAGAAAAGAUGCAAGCACUAAAAUAAAUGAACAAAUAGGAAAACUUUACAUUUUAGCUGGUCCGCAAGGUGCUCUAUACCACCAAAAGGCAUCUCAUGAAAUUCAAUGACGAUGUCGCUGGAAUAGUUCAACAAGAACCCCCUGUCUCCACACAAAGGAUUUACUCCUACAGACAAACGAACUGAAGGAGAGCUACUAAGGGGACUAUGUCUUAGCAUAUUUAUUUCAUUAAUCUGUACUCUAAAUAGCACAUCUACAGCAAAACAAAGGUAUUGCUGGCACUAAAUUGAAACACUAGACGUUCUGUGCUACAUACUUGCACAUUUCCAUAUCAGAUACAAAGAAGCAUAUGAAUCCCAUUUUAUAUAGGUAGUAAAUGGUAUUCCUCAUCUAAUAUGUAUGUAAAGCUACUUACAUCGUUCCUCAUAUUAAGAGUGAAAUGGCAUCUAAUUUUGAAGAUAAAGAAAAGGAUAAAAAAAAAUUGAAAAAAACAUUGAUUUUGCUCAUGAAUGGUUUGGUGUGAAAGCAAAAGAGAUGUUUCCACAGUUGCAUUGGAAGUGAAAUCUUUUCCAGAUGAGGAAAAAGAUAAACUUGCACCCUCUCCAUAAUGCUGUGAUAAAUCAAGAGAAAGUGCACACUUCCUUUAUCUUAAUUGAAACACAUUCAUGUUAAGAAAAGAUGGACCCAACACUGUAAUCAAAUGAGAUUGUGGCUGCACGAAAUGAGAAGUUCUUUCUAGUCAUUUCCCGUAAGAAAGUUUUACUAAAUUUGUAGCCUUUGAGAAAUCAAUGCACAAUAAUAUUGUAAGUUGUGUUGUCUGACAAGCAAACAUUUGUCACCAUUUCUUUUAGCAUAUCUGCAUACGCAUAGUUGUGCACCAGUCAGGGACUCCAGUACCAAAGGAGACUGGAAGGAAACAUCAAUAUGACCAUCUGCUCAUAUACUCAAAACACUACAAUGCCUAAGCCAAUCCCAGGAUGCAGCUUGCUUGAUGUGCCUUAUUUUGCAGCUGGAAGUGGACUCACUAGAUUUCAUCUUUACAGUUACAAAAUCAGAACAUAAUCAAAACAGACCAUAGUACCCACAAACACAAGGCAAACUUUCAAAACUUACUGCAAUAAUCAACCAACAGACGUCAAAUUUCAAAGAUUGGCACAUUCAUAUGUGAAAGAGAACAAGGAUAGUCACAAGCAUGUGAAUUGAUUGAGAGCCAGCGGUAUAAUUCUUCAAAUACUACUAGUUACUACAAAAACAAUCAGCAUACAAACAAGUUAACAUACUCCUUCACACCUAUGGAAAGUACCGCAACAAAAUUAUACAAUGAAAGAGCAAUUCCUCGAGAGUUAUCCUGCAGUCUUCAAAAACUAUACAAUUAUUGUAUCCUUCACACCUAUGGAAAGUACCGCAACAAAACUAUACAAUGAAAGAGCAAUUCCUCAAGGUUUAUCCUGCAGUCUUCAAAAACUAUACAAUUAUUGUACUAAAUGAAACAACAAAUCCACAUGUUCAAAAUGCUGUGAUAAAUCAAGAGAAAGUGCACACUUCCUUUAUCUUAAUUGAAACACAUUCAUGUUAAGAAAAGAUGGACCCAACACUGUAAUCAAAUGAGAUUGUGGCUGCACGAAAUGAGAAGUUCUUUCUAGUCAUUUCCCGUAAGAAAGUUUUACUAAAUUUGUAGCCUUUGAGAAAUCAAUGCACAAUAAUAUUGUAAGUUGUGUUGUCUGACAAGCAAACAUUUGUCACCAUUUCUUUUAGCAUAUCUGCAUACGCAUAGUUGUGCACCAGUCAGGGACUCCAGUACCAAAGGAGACUGGAAGGAAACAUCAAUAUGACCAUCUGCUCAUAUACUCAAAACACUACAAUGCCUAAGCCAAUCCCAGGAUGCAGCUUGCUUGAUGUGCCUUAUUUUGCAGCUGGAAGUGGACUCACUAGAUUUCAUCUUUACAGUUACAAAAUCAGAACAUAAUCAAAACAGACCAUAGUACCCACAAACACAAGGCAAACUUUCAAAACUUACUGCAAUAAUCAACCAACAGACGUCAAAUUUCAAAGAUUGGCACAUUCAUAUGUGAAAGAGAACAAGGAUAGUCACAAGCAUGUGAAUUGAUUGAGAGCCAGCGGUAUAAUUCUUCAAAUACUACUAGUUACUACAAAAACAAUCAGCAUACAAACAAGUUAACAUACUCCUUCACACCUAUGGAAAGUACCGCAACAAAACUAUACAAUGAAAGAGCAAUUCCUUGAGGUUUAUCCUGCAGUCUUCAAAAACUAUACAAUUAUUGUAUCCUUCACACCUAUGGAAAGUACCGCAACAAAACUAUACAAUGAAAGAGCAAUUCCUCGAGGUUUAUCCUGCAGUCUUCAAAAACUAUACAAUUAUUGUACUAAAUGAAACAGCAAACCCACAUGUUCAAAAUCAACCAACAGACGUCAAAUUUCAAAGAUUGGCACAUUCAUAUGUGAAAGAGAACAAGGAUAGUCACAAGCAUGUGAAUUGAUUGAGAGCCAGCGGUAUAAUUCUUCAAAUACUACUAGUUACUACAAAAACAAUCAGCAUACAAACAAGUUAACAUACUCCUUCACACCUAUGGAAAGUACCGCAACAAAACUAUACAAUGAAAGAGCAAUUCCUCGAGAGUUAUCCUGCAGUCUUCAAAAACUAUACAAUUAUUGUACUAAAUGAAACAGCAAACCCACAUGUUCAAAAUCAACCAACAGACGUCAAAUUUCAAAGAUUGGCACAUUCAUAUGUGAAAGAGAACAAGGAUAGUCACAAGCAUGUGAAUUGAUUGAGAGCCAGCGGUAUAAUUCUUCAAAUACUACUAGUUACUACAAAAACAAUCAGCAUACAAACAAGUUAACAUACUCCUUCACACCUAUGGAAAGUACCGCAACAAAACUAUACAAUGAAAGAGCAAUUCCUCGAGAGUUAUCCUGCAGUCUUCAAAAACUAUACAAUUAUUGUAUCCUUCACACCUAUGGAAAGUACCGCAACAAAACUAUACAAUGAAAGAGCAAUUCCUCGAGGUUUAUCCUGCAGUCUUCAAAAACUAUACAAUUAUUGUAUCCUUCACACCUAUGGAAAGUACCGCAACAAAACUAUACAAUGAAAGAGCAAUUCCUCGAGGUUUAUCCUGCAGUCUUCAAAAACUAUACAAUUAUUGUAUCCUUCACACCUAUGGAAAGUACCGCAACAAAACUAUACAAUGAAAGAGCAAUUCCUCGAGGUUUAUCCUGCAGUCUUCAAAAACUAUACAAUUAUUGUAUCCUUCACACCUAUGGAAAGUACCGCAACAAAACUAUACAAUGAAAGAGCAAUUCCUCGAGGUUUAUCCUGCAGUCUUCAAAAACUAUACAAUUAUUGUACUAAAUGAAACAGCAAACCCACAUGUUCAAAAUCAACCAACAGACGUCAAAUUUCAAAGAUUGGCACAUUCAUAUGUGAAAGAGAACAAGGAUAGUCACAAGCAUGUGAAUUGAUUGAGAGCCAGCGGUAUAAUUCUUCAAAUACUACUAGUUACUACCAAAAAAUAAAUAAAAUAAAAAUAAAAAUAAAAACAAACAGCCUACUUCACCAAAAACUAAAUAAGGCACACAAGUCAGCUUUCUAUAACAUAAGACAGGAAAUAAUUACUUAGAGCCUGCAAGGGAUUUCAGUUAACAACACUACCGGACCACUGAAUUUAUAUAAACAACUUAAAUCAAGAAAACCAACAAUAUUUGCACAAGUUAUCCUAUUAGCAUCUGUCACGGUUCCAAGUUCAAUCUUCUUCCAUCUAUAACACCCAAAAAGCUGCAGAAGAAACUAAUAUUUAUGCCAAAGUUUAUAAGCUAUCAUAAGUUCAAAAGCAUACCCACUGAAACAAACUUGUUACCAAAACCAACAGCUGAAAAACUAAAAGAAACAUGCCCUGAUCUAUACUUUACAACAAUUACCAAAAUUUGAGAAUACUUGAUGAAUGCAAUACAUUUUAAAGUGGUGCCAAUUACACAAAAUAAUCUCACAGCUUUUUUACUUAUCAAAUUGAGAUAAUAAGAUAAGACAAUGAAUAACCCAAGAGGCCAAAUUUAGACAAUAAGAUUAGAAAAUGAGAUACUUUCUAUGAUAUUUCCAAGCACAUUACACCAAGGUUAUCAAAACAUAACAGAAACCUACAUCCUACUGCUAGAAAUUCCCAUAAAACUAGACAAAAGAUUACUGCAUAUUUAACCCAUACAUAAAACUGCCAAAUCUAUUAGGCCUUCUUUGGUGACUUGGUGGCUCUGGGCGUCGAUGCUUUCUCCUCGGAAGCAGUAGAUUUCUUAGGCAACAGAACUGGGUUAAUGUUGGGGAGAACACCUCCACUUGCAAUGGUAACCCCAGCCAACAAUUUUCCCAGCUCUUCAUCAUUCCUCACUGCCAACAGCAAAUGCCUUGGAAUAAUCCUCGUUUUCUUGUUGUCUCUUGCUGCAUUUCCAGCCAACUCCAACACCUAUUAAAUAAAAUGAAUAGAUUAUUAUAAAAAUCAAUAGAAAAUUACAGAUCUGAGAUAAUUUAUUGGGUUUAUUAUACCUCAGCAGCGAGGUAUUCAAGAACAGCAGCGAGGUAAAUAGGAGCACCAGAUCCAACACGCUGAGCAUAACGACCUUUCUUCAAGAAACGAGCAAUACGACCAACUGGGAACUGAAGACCAGCUUUCACAGACUUAGUUACAGCCUUCUUCCUUGGGCCACCCUUCCUUCCUGCUGCACCUUUGGUUUGCUUAGCAGCAUCCAUUUCGACAAACAAACAAUAAGAUUUGAAGAGAGAAAAUUGCUUCUAGUGAUUUCCGCUUUGAGAAUUGAAUGCUGAUGAAGAAAAUGAAACGGUGGAGUUUGGUAUUUAUAGGAUAGAGAUGGAUUGCCACGCUGGCGAUCCGCGUGAGUGGUAUUGUUCUUUGACGGUGUGGAUUUGUUGUUUUCAUGUUAGAUCGUACGGUUAGGAAAAGCUUAAAAGAUGGCGAUCCGUGGUUAAGGGAAACAGCGAAUGAUUUUGUGACACGCGUAUAUGUUUGGUGAAUUGCAGUAAGAGGUGAAUCGUGCGCGGGGAAUUUGAAUUUUACUAAAUUUAUUUUUUGCGCCUAUUUGUGAAAACUUUCUUAGCAAGAGAAAUAAAUGGGAUAAUUAUUUUUAUUCCUAAUUAAGUGCUAUUUAUAAUUUACCCGUCAAUCUCAAUAUCUCAUAUACAGUCAUUAACGAUUUUGCUCUUGGUUAUUAAAGACCCUAGCUCCUAAACUUUAUUAAUACUAUAACUAAAUUGUGAUUUUGACACCCAUCAACAUAAAAUUUGCAUGAAUAUAAAAUGAUCCUACUCACUAGUUUUUUUCCAUUUUUUAACUAAAUAAAAUUCUUACAAAAUAGCCAAGUAAAUCUUUUUUUAUGUUGAUAAGAAUUAGAGCAUAAAAGGGAUUUUGUCUAAUUUGGAUGCUUAUUUAGGAGGUGUCAAAAAGACUUAUCAGUAAUUUGAGAUCUUAAUAAAAUGAUUAUAUAAUUUAUUCAAUAUUAGGUAUAAAUAUAAAUCAAUGUUAUUAAACCUUACAGGGAGAAUUCAGAUAACUUAAGCAUUUCAUAAAGGCAUAAUAUUAUCAUCAAGUGAUAGAGAUAUAAAGGCAACACAAUGCACUAAACUUCUCAUUGUGUGCGAGGUUAACACAGAAAAUCUUAAAAUAGUAAAAUGUCAUAAUUGAGAUCGGAACUUGUGAUGGAUCUGUUUGGCACUUUUUGUCAUGUCAUAGGUAUAAAUUUCAUAUACUCGAACUUCAACUUGCAAGAUAUCGCUAUUUGAUUUAGACCACUUCAAAUCUCCUCGCCUUGACAACCUAUCACAGUAGAAUAAAUGAAUAUCUAGACAGUAGGGGUGUGCAAAAACCAAAUUGACCGAUAAAAAUGCUAUUGGGUUAUUGGUUAAACCGAUAAUCUAAUAAGGAUACAUUAAGUUAUUGUUUUACCCCUAUUUAUGUUAUAUAUAUAUAUAUAUAUAUAUAUAUGGAGUCUAAUACUUCUAACCAUGUUUGGAAAAUUCCGUUAGUUUUUCAAAGUUUGAAGUAUUUAGUAGCUUCCGACAAUUAGGAUUCAUUUUUUUUUUCGAACCAACAUUCAGUUCAAGUUUGAAGAUUCUUGUAAACUAAAAUGCAUUGCGUAGGAUUUUGGCGGUAACUAAGAUUUCAUUUUUUUGAUAUUGGUUGUUACUAUUUCUAUUUUAAAUGUAUUUUCUUAUUGGUUAAACCAAAAAUCGAACCGUUAAAGACUAAAAAUCAAUGAACCGAAAACUGAUAAGAAAAUAUCUUAUUGGUUGGUUAUUGGUUUUACAAAUUGAAAAACCGAUAAAUCAAACUAAUAACAUGUAAAACCGAACCGACCAAUGCACGCCCCUACUAACCAAGUACUUCUUUUAACAUCUCGUAUUACAUUGUUAAUUUUGUGGUAUGUAUCAAUAGAGACGCAAUAUGUAAGGAUAACUUUAAUAUGACUUUUAUCUUAUUUCUCUUUUUCUUUAUGCUCUUACUUAUUUGAUGUUUCCUCCCUUUUAAUUCAAGUAUCUAAUCAUUGCGUAGGAUUUUGGCGGUAACUAAGAUUUCAUUUUUUUGAUAUUGGUUGUUACUAUUUCUAUUUUAAAUGUAUUUUCUUAUUGGUUAAACCAAAAAUCGAACCGUUAAAGACUAAAAAUCAAUGAACCGAAAACUGAUAAGAAAAUAUCUUAUUGGUUGGUUAUUGGUUUUACAAAUUGAAAAACCGAUAAAUCAAACUAAUAACAUGUAAAACCGAACCGACCAAUGCACGCCCCUACUAACCAAGUACUUCUUUUAACAUCUCGUAUUACAUUGUUAAUUUUGUGGUAUGUAUCAAUAGAGACGCAAUAUGUAAGGAUAACUUUAAUAUGACUUUUAUCUUAUUUCUCUUUUUCUUUAUGCUCUUACUUAUUUGAUGUUUCCUCCCUUUUAAUUCAAGUAUCUAAUUUAUAUUUAUUUAUUUUGUUUGUUUUCUAAAAAAAAUGUAUAUUUAGUAAUAUUUUAAUUUUAAUAUUUUAUAUGAUUUAUUUAAAAUCAUAAGAUUCAAAAAGAUCUUUUGAUCCAUUACAUAUAUCUUUGAUUAAAACUAAAAGGAAUAGAAAAACUCCCUUAUUUUCUCAAUUCAUGUAUCUAGCCAGACAUCACACUUGAAUUACAGUUAAAAUAAUACGUAGUUUAUGAUCUUUUAAACCUUCUAUCCUAUUUUUCUAGUUAACUCCAACAUUAGGUAUUCGUCGGUUAUAAAUGGUUAAUGUUAAUAAUUGAUGGUAGUGGUUGAAGAAUGUAUGGUAGUUGAGGGUAAUAAUAGUUGUAAUCAUAGAGGUGGUUGGGUGUUAGUUGAUAAUGGUGGUGAGGUGGCAGCAACGACAUUGACAUUGGUGGUGUUGGCUAAAGAAAAUACGGUGGUAGACGAUGUAUUUAUGGUAGUUAACCGCAAUUCUAAUUGUGAUAAUGGGGUGGCUAAUUGUAGGGAUUGAUCAUAAUAAUGACGGUGGCUGAUAGCGAUAGCAACAGUGAGAACGACAAUAUAUAUCGUUAUAAUGAUAGAGGUAGUAAGCAUUGUAGCAGCUAUUGACAAUGAUAUUUGCAUGUGGUGGUACUUGUCUGUGGUAGUUGUGCUGGCGGAGGUUGCCGAUUUGUGGUGGUGUCUCAAUGAUGAAAAUUGUGGUUGACAGUAGUAGUAGCUAAUAAUUAUGGUAAGAGUGGUGAUAAAAAAUAUCAAUAUAAAAAUACUUUUUGAUGAUAUUAAGACCUAUUAAGGGUUGAAUCUAAGUGAAUUGAAUGCAUCAUUAAUAAAUGUACUCAAUGAUCUAAUAUAUGGAUGACUCAAAUUCAGACAUUCAUUAAGUGAAAACAAAUACAAGUAACUUAAAUCUCAACAAAAACAAAUAUAUAGUAGCUCAAAUUCAACUCAUCAAGUGCAAAUAUAUUGGGUGAUCAUGGUUUGGUUUUUAAUUAAUAUCAAAUUGAAACCAAUUUAGUCAAUUUUUAAAUUUCUAAAACUGCGUCGAACUUUAAUAAAAUAAAAUCUUUGAUUUGGUUGUUGUUGGUUUUGUUCGAUUUUCAAUUUAGCUAAUGAUAAAUUGAUAAUACUAAACCAACAGAGAAAUGAGAUGGCUCUUUCAAAUGAACAUUAGGACUCAACAACAUUCUCUCUAACAUCACAAGUUAAAUGUGUUCAAAUCUUUUCUUAGUUUUCAAUAGUAUUUUAAAACUUUAACAUGUUUAAGUUGUAUAACUAUAGAUGUUUUCCCAUUUCACAUGUCUAACAUCCACUAAAUGUACAAUUUUAAAUAAAAUGAUCAAGCCGUAAAAAAACAAAGGGGCAAGCUGCUGGAGAUGGAUAUUUUUAGCAAAUAAAAAUAAAAAUCAUUAAUACACCACACCACACCACAUAUAUACAUUUGGACUUAGACUACAUUUAUUUUUAUUAAGAUCAAGACGUCUGAAUCUGAAUGUAUAUCUGAAUAAUUAAGAUUUUUGUCUCUAAAUUUGAAAUUGAAUGAUUAAAACUGUUUAUCUUUUCAAUAUUUGAAUAUGCAUAGCUUAUUUAUUUGUAAACAUAAUAAAUAUAUAAUUUAAUUAAUUAAUUAGUCAAAUCUUAAAAAAAUAUCAAUCUAAUAAAGUGUAAUAAUUAUUUAAUAAAAAAAUUAUAUUUGCCAGUGACGAUGGAGAUGAUUUGUAAUGACAAUGGUGGUCAUAAUAGUUGGUGUUAGUGGAUAAAAGUGGUGGUGAUAAUAGUUAUGGUGGUGAAACUGGCUAGUUUUUGUAGUGACUGUCGUAUAUGAUAGCAUUUGAUAGUGAUGGGGUGGUUGUGAUGUGAAGUUGAUUGAUGUUAGUAGUUGGAGAUGUUGAUAGUGGUGGUUGACAUAUGUAUGUAUGAUGAUUGACAAUGUUCCAAUGGUAAUUGGAGACCCUGUUAGUGGUUGAUAAUUAUGGUAAAGGUAGUGACACCAAUGACAAUAAUGAUGAUAGUGGGCUGAUUUUGGUGUAUUUAUACGCCUAAGCACCAUAACUUAUCCAUAUUUUAGCUAAGUUUAGAGAACAAAGUGCGUAGUUUCUUAUGUUUUUACUCUACUUCUAUGUAAUUGAGCUAACUGAUGUGAUUAGCAUGAUUUCAAGUAUUAAUGAGGUAGAUGAAGACAUAAUGGGACUAUGAAAUGCGGAUGACAUAUGACACAAGAGAGAGUAGCAAUCUGGACCAAAUGUGGCACCUAGAAACUAUGUCCAAGACUAAUUUAUCAUUUAUAAUUAGUUCAGGCACUUAGAAGGAAAUUAUGAGAGAAGAGAUUAUUAAAAGACUUAAUUGUUGAAUUUUUAUUCACAAUUCAUUAUUCUGUAUUAUUCUGAGAGAGGAGAAAGACGGCUUAGCUUGAGGAAAGAGAGAGAAAUAUUUUUCUCUCUUAUUUUUACUAUUCGCACACCAAGAUCGUCUUCUAAUUUUUGGUAUGAUGAAUAUAUUUAUGAUGCUUUUCGUUUUAUUCAUGAGUAACUAAGUUUAUUAGUUAGGGUUAUGGAAGACUUGUAGUAUACAAUCUAUCACUCUGGGUUUUGAAUUCAUUAUGCAUUGAUUUGUUUACAUCAUACUCUCUUCGCUUAUCUUGAAUUCUCGUGGUUGCAAACAUAGAGGAUAUGCCUUAAAACGCAACUUGUUCGAAAGAAAGGUUGAUGUUCGGAAAAGAGAGUAGUGAUAAGAAAAUAGUAUUACCAACCCCUAUUUUAUAAGUUAAUACCUUAGCAAGAUUAACUACUUGGAGAUUUCAUAUUUUUUUUGGUGAACGCUUUUGAUUCGAGAGAACUAAAGUGAAUUAGUCCUUGAUGGUUGAGAAACACCAGGACUAUGUUAUUAAAUACAAUACAUUUCUCUGUAAGCUUGAUCCAUGUAUGAAUUCAUAAAGCCCAUAGUUAGUAAGUAUUGAAAACUACAAGGUGGACAUAACCCUAGCUUGCUAUUUCUCUGAAUUUGAAUACUACUACACAUAUUUCAUCUUGUUAAACUAAAACCAUUAAUUUGUGAACUGAAUCAAAUUUCCCCUAUUUAUUUUACGUAAACGAACUAUUAAAAGUCAACUAAUCUGCAUACAACUUAAUUAACACCAUAUUCCCAAUGGGAUUCUACCCCAACCUAGUUGGGUUAUAUUUGACAAUGACCGCUUACUCUCUCGUAAGAGAGGUGUAAUUUGGACGUAUCAUGGGCGAAGAAUGUGUAAAGAUUGAUGAUGUAUUAAUGGUAUUUGACGGUGAUACUAGUUGUGAUAGAUGAGUUAGUUGGUGGUAAGGAUUGACCCGACAGUGGUUGAUGGUGGUGACGGUGGAGAUAAUUAGAAAAAUGAAAGUGGUAUGUGAGGUAGCGUCCACCAGUAAUGCUUGGUAGUAGUUUUGGUUGUCAAUGGUGAUUGUGAUGGUAAAUGUGGUGGUGACUGGUGAUGGCAGAGAUGGUUAGUGGUGGUGACUGGUGAUUGUGGAUAGAAUGGUGAUGAAUAUUAUCCAUCACAAGAAUAUCUUUUAAUAAUAUUAAGACUUGGUUUAUAUCUAAAUGACUCUGACCUAUCUAGACAUAUUAAAAGUUAAAAUCUUAAUAAAAACAAGCGCACUCAAUGGUUUGAGGUCUGAACCAUUCAGACCUCCAUUAAGUGCAAACAAAAGAAGCCUUAGAUUCUUUUGUCUAUACGAGAUGAAAUCAUGCAAUUUCGAUACAGAUUCUCAAUAAAUAAGUAAAAGUUCACAAUAAAGUAUCAUACAAUAUCACAAAGUUAUUCUAAAAUAGUACAACAUUUAUUGAUUAAAUUUUAGUUCAAUAAAAAAUAAAAUUGAACAUGAGUUGUAGUGUAGUAUUGUUUUUUAACUUAAUUCCGCACACAAUACAGACAAACUCCUCACAUUGAAUAUGCAUUCUCAAUUAGAUAACAGAGAUGGACCAAAAUUGUUACUUUGAUCCAUUUGUUGGUCAAUAUCAUCAAUAACUAAAUCAUCAUAGCUGUAUUUUAUGAUUUUUCAAGAAGGACAAGUAACCGUUUAAAAAUCGUCAAUUCAAUAACUCAAUGUUGAUAAAUCAAUAACAUUUUUUGAUUCGAUCUUUGCAUGACAAAUUACAUUUGAAUAAAAUGGUUGGUUGAUAUAGAAUGUUUUUUUUUUUUUACAAAUCAUAAACUUAUGUGUUGUUAUAAAUGUAUUUACAUUAUAGUGAAUGCCUAUCAAGAUCUAUUAAGAUCUACUUUGAUAUCUAUUAGGAUUUGAAGCAUCCGUCUUUUACUCAGACGAGGAGUAAAUUUCCCCUAUAAAUAGAGGGGUUUUAUUCAUUGUAUUGACAAUCUUAUGAUCUCUCAUCCUUCAAAGAGAAAAAAUAAGAAUAACUCUCUCUAUUCUCUCUACUCUUCUUCUUGUUCUUUCUUAUUUUAUAACACGUUAUCAACACGAAGUUGUAACCAAUUGAGUAAUAAUUGAGAUAAAGCCGCCCAAAAUGUGAUCUGUCAAUUGCUCAACAUGCUUGAGGUAUUAUUUUUCUUUUAAUAAUUCCUCAUGAGGUAUGAUUUCUUUUAUUAAAUAAUUCCUUUAUUUUGUUCCGAUAUGGCAAAGAGCAAUAGAUCCACGAUUGGGACAAUGCACUGUUUUAAUAUUUACAUUACUGCUACUUUGAAAGAAAAAAAAAACUAAUUAAUACUUCAUUGAAUAAUUUUGAUUUGAAAAGAAGAAAUAUAAAAGAGUUACAUGCAAAGGUCCAUGCAUAUCUAAAAUUGCGUGAUGCGGUAGAUUGAUUGAAAAUUUCUUCUCUCUGUCUGCGUAUGCUUUACACAUUUUAUAUAUUUUUAUAUUAUAUUAUUAUAUCAUAUCUAUUGACAUUAACUCUUCUAUAUAAUUCAAGGUCAGUAAUUUCUUAUGUUAUCUGUAUUUUGUUACUAAUAAUAUAAUUAUUGUUGGAUUUGAGGAAAAAUAAUUGGUUUGGAACCAUUUAUGUUUAAAAUUUAUUCCUCAAGAACAAUAUUGUCAAAAAAAUAAUAAUAUAUUGGGUUCAAGUCCCAUCGAUUCAUGCCUAAGACGUCUUUAUAUGGAUCAAAUAUUGAGUUUGAAUCUCAAUACACCAUAUUGAUGAUAGUGUGAUGGACAAGGCAAAAUGAUGGGUGUUUGAUGAAAAGUCAUGAAAUUCGACCCAUUGAAUAUGCUCCAUUCCAUGAAGUGAAGGUGGUAGCAAUACAUGAUAAGUCUGAAGUAUGACAACUCACUUCCGAAUGAGGAAGAAUAAUUGAUUGAUUGUGAUGGUAUCACAACUCACCUCCGAAUGAGGAAGAAUAACUGAGAAUUGAUUGUGAUGGUGUCACAACUCACCUCCGAAUGAGGAAGAAUAAUUGAGAAAAAUUAUUUUGAAAUCUACUUCUAAAGUAGUAAAUCUGAAAUUUAUUCAUAUAAUAGUAAAUCUGAAAUUUACUAAAGCAAAAACACAUAUCAUGGUAAACUUGGAGUUUACUAGAAUAAACGUUCAUAAAUUGACAUGAAUGAUUGCGAUAUCUCGAAGAUAUGCAUACUGAGUAUUGAACAUAUAUAGAAGAAUUAGAAAAUUCUUUAUGAACUUGCUUGUUCUCAUCAUAAGUUGGUUGAACCAACUAAUUUUGAUAUUGGAUCCCUCAAAAUCUGAAAAGUAUAAAAGGUGAAUAAGGGUCCGUUCACCUAUCAUGUGAUAUGUUGAAAAGAUGCAUCAAUAAGAUGAUCACAUGUGCCUUCAUGGUCAACCUACGUUUGAUAUUCAUAAAGUUACUUGUUCAAUAUAAAUUGAGUAUGGUUUUCAGAUUGUGUAAUCAAGAUAAUUCAUCUUGAUGAUGAUGGUUUAGCAUUGAAUGCCUUCCAUAAAUAGUUGAACCAUUACUAAUGAGAACAAAGUUUCCUGCAUUGGUGUGAAAUAUGAUAUAUUGCAUACAAUAACACUUGUAUGCAUUAGACCAAUAUAUUAUGAUUAUUUCUCCCCUCUCAAUUGGUUCAAGGUCAGGAACCAACUAUUCCAUCUAAUAGUUUUGAUGUGCGGUAUAUGAUUAAUAAAUAUACCAUGAUGCAUAAAGAUGGAUUCCUUAAAGAAGACGAAGGAUGUAUGUUAGUUUUCCUACCAUAAGGGGGAGAUUAUAAGCAGCUAUGAAAUAUGUUAGGAAUUAUCAUCAGAUCCUCAUUCAAAAGAUAAUUCAAGUCAAAUGUCGAAAGCAUCUCAUAUUUAGCUGCAAGUGCUCCUAUUUUAUGUCCUUAGAGGAUAAAGUCUAUGUAUGCAUGAAGUAUGAUAGACCAAUUGGUUCCAAAUGAAAUAAUCUUUGAAAAGGAUAUGGAGCAAAUAAUCAUAAUAAGAAGACAAUGAGCCCUUGAAGAGCCUACGAUAUAACACUUCAUGAAACCUUAUGAGAGGUUCAUGUACCUGAAAUAAUGAAGUAAUGAGAUCUCAAAAUGCUAUGUCGCAUUGUGAACCGAUACUAAGUGAUAUAUCAUCAAUAUAUUUGACACAAUAUUGGCGCAAUAUUGUGAAAGAUUACGAGGAUCUUAAUUCUACGUUAAUUUAAGUAUGCAGAUGUAGAAAUAUUUAUCAAGUGACAUGAAAGGAUGCAUCUUGGUAAGUAUUAAACUUAUUUGAUUUGCAAUCCAAAUAUUUGAAGACGUCACUCAUGAAAUGUUGAAUAUUGUCACUUGAUAAAACUUAUGUGAAAAACUUCUUCAAGGAUUCAAAAUAUAAAAGUUUUUGGGAAACUUAUUGAUAAUCCUUAUAUUGUAUAAGCUUAUAGCUUGAAAAUUAUUGAAAUUCUUGGAGAGUUUUCAAAAGCAAUAAGAUUAUUUGCUGAAAUAAGAAAUAUACCAAUUUGGAUUGGUUAUGAAGUACCAUAUAUUAGUACAAUUGAUGCACUUAUGUAUCUUGUAAUACUACAAGACCCAAUAUAGCCUUUUGCUCAAUUUGUUAGCAAGGUAUAUUUCUACUCCUACUAGGAGACAUUGAAAUGGGAUAAGAUACAUGAGUUUAUUUUAUUCUAAAGAUUGCAGUCUCAAUCUUAUUGGUCAUGCUGAUAUUGGGUACUUAUCUGACCCGCAUAAAGCUCGGUCUCAAAUAGGCUAUGUGUUCAUAUGUGGUGGUACUGCAAUAUCUUGGAGAUAUACAAAGCAGUCUAUCAUAGUCACUUCAUUGAAUCAUGCUGAGAUAAUAGCUAUUCAUGAAGCAAGCCGAGAAUGUGUAUGGUUGAGGUCCAUGAUACAUCUCAUUCAAGAAAAAUGUGGUGUGAAAUAUGACAAUCUACCCACAAUUUUAUACAGAGAUAAUUCAGCAUACAUAGCACAUCUUAAGGGAGGAUUCAUAAAUGGAGAUAAAACAAAGCACAUUUUGUCAAAGCUUAUCUACAUACAUGAGCUACAAAAGAAUGAUGAUAUUAACGUGCAACGGAUUCGGUCAACUGUCAAUGUGACUAUUUAUUCACCAAAUCUUCUCCAAUUGCAACUUUUCAGAAGAUGCUGCACAAGAUCGAGAUGUAAAGGUCAAGGAUGUUCUCAUCAGGGGGAGUUAAUAUGCGCUGUACUCUUUUUCCCUUAUGAGGUUUUGUCCCAUUGGGUUUUCCUUGUAAGAUUUUUAAUGAGGCAGCCGAAAUACGUAUUAUUAGAGAUGUGUACUCUUUUUUCCUCACUAGAUUUUUUUCCUACUUGGUAUUUUCUAGUAAGGUUUUAACGAGGCACAUUAUUUACCAAUUAGACAUUCAAAGGGGAGUGUUAUAAAUGUAUUUACAUUAUAGUGAAUGUCUAUCAAGAUCUAUCAAGAUCUACUUUGAUAUCUAUUAAGAUUUAAAACAUCUGUCUUUUACUCAGACGAAGAGUAAAUUUUCCCUAUAAAUAGAGGAAUUUUGUUCACUGUAUUGAUAAUCUUAUGAUCUCUCAUCCUUCAAAAAGAAGAAAUAAGAAUAACUCUCUCUAUUCUCUCUACUCUUCUUCUUGUUCUUUCUUGUUUUAUAACAUGUGUCAAAUUUUAAAUUUUUAAAAUUUGAUAUCAUGAUAUAAAAUUUCAUUUUUUUCUGAGAGUUUUGGUAUUUUUGGUCUAAUGAUUUGAAAUUAUGAGAUAAAAUCGCAUGUCUAAAUGCUGAUUUUAUCUCAUGAUUUCAAGUCACGAGAUGAAAUCAUAUUUCUAAAGGCACAUAUGUUUUAAGAAGAAAUUUAAAAAUCUUGCAAUAUAUGUAUAAAAAUAUUUAUAAAAAAAACUAAUAUCAUUCAUGUAUUCAAAUUAUGAAAUUUAUUCAUAUAAUUUAUUUGUUCAAUAUCCUUCUUUCAUUUUCAGCUAAAUCAAAAUCUAAACGAAACCAAAUAUUGUUAGAUUUUUAAAAUUUUAAACCAAACAACAAAUGUCCCCUUUAAAAAAAAAAAUCAUUUGGUUUGAUUUUUGAUUGUAGCAAAAAGAUGUAUCCUAAAAUGACUAAACGACGUCGUACAUAUAUUUCCAGCGUUUAAUUUAGGCGGGGCAAUUGGCGCGGAUCCAAUUUGCGUUUGUUUAACGGUAGGGUUCUCACUCUUCUUCUCCGUAGAAAGGUAAUCUCAUUGUCCCCUAUAAUAUUCGCAAUUAAGCACACUAAUCAGAUCGAUGGAGUAUUAUUUAGAACUAAUGCUAUUGGUAAAUUCCAUCUUAAAUUAAAAAAUAUUGAUCAAUUAGUAGUGUUAGGGAAAUUUGAACACCUAAUAUUACUUGGCGAUAAUUGGGUGAUUAUGAAAGUAAAAUGUCUAGUUUGAAAAUCUUUUAUUUAUUCAUAUUCUUGAUUGAAUUUAGAGAAUAAUUAGAUUAUCAGUGUUAUUUUAAGUGAUUGCAGCAUGAAAAUUACUACUCCAUCCGUUCAGUUUUAAUUGUCAUGUUUGGCUUCUCGAAAGUCAAAAUUGUAUGAACUUUGACCAAUUUAUUUUCUCAUUAUAUUAAUAUAGUUUUUGAAUAUCUUUAAAUUUUAAAAUAUUGAAUUAACCUAAUUCAAUUUAGCUCCGAAGAUUAAUCAAAUUGGCUCUCUUGAAGCAAUAUGUGAAGAGUAAAAUUGAAUGGAGGAAGUACUGUGUUUUUUAUACCUAAACGUCAAUGUAGCUGUAUGUGAGUUUUUUUCACUAACUUCAGAAGUUUACAAUUUGCUUGAUUUCACUUCAAUGUGGAAUCUCUGAUUUUUUCUGUGUAUGUGUAGUCUUAGCCGCAUUGUUGUUGAAGCAAUUAUUAGAGCGAAAUUAAAUGGACCCAGACCAAGUUGUUGCUGAAUUGGUUGGAAUGGGAUUUGAGUUAUCUGAUAUUACAAAUGCUAUAGAAGUUGUGGGUCCAUCAAUUGAUGCUGCCAUUGAUUAUCUACUCGAUGAUUCUCGAAGAGACACUGCGAGUGCAUCAACUAGUAAUUCACGUUUCACCAGUCAUGCCGGUCCUCUGGGAAAAAGAGGCCCCAAUUCUACAUCGCGUGCUGCAGGCAAAAUACGACAAUCAAGCAUAAAUGAAUUCGUUGAAUCAGCUGGUAGACCUAAAAGAAGCAAGACAAUGAAUAAGUUGGAUCUGUCUCAAUCAGAAGUCCUGCAAAGAGAUACCAAAGAUCGAAAUGUGCAUCCUCCUAUAGAGGAUUCUGAUCUCCGCAUUGCAACUGAAAAGGCUGUAUUAUCAUCUUAUAGCAAAGAUGAAGAUGUUGGACCAGAUUGGCAAAAGAAGGUUGAGAAUUUGUUGCAGAAGCACUUUGGAUUUUCAUUGUUGAAGGAUUUUCAGAAAGAAGCUCUGGAAGCUUGGUUAUCUCACCGUGACUGUCUUGUUCUUGCAGCAACAGGAUCAGGUAUUAGCCUUUCAUACUUUUCCUUCGCCAUUCUCCCUCUUCCUGUAAAAUACGAUUUUUCGGUGUCUCAGAGUUAUGUUUCUGUAGGGCAAUCUUUGUGUUUUCAGAUUCCUGCAUUGCUGACCGGGAAGGUUGUCAUUGUUAUAUCACCUUUGAUUAGCUUGAUGCAUGAUCAGUGCUUGAAGUUAGCAAAUCAUGGUGUUUCUGCUUGCUUCCUUGGAUCUGGUCAAACUGAUCGAAGUGUUGAACAAAAAGCAAUGUCAGGCAUGUAUAGCAUCAUUUAUGUAUGCCCUGAGACAAUUUUAAGGUAUUGAGCAUGUACUCUUGAAUGGUACUUCAAGGAUAGUGUUGGCUGUUAUUGACAAAUGAGUUCCUGACUUUGUUUUUUUCCAGACUCAUUAAACCCCUCCGAAGCCUCGCAGAAAGUCGUGGAAUUGCUCUAUUUGCAAUCGAUGAAGUUCAUUGUGUUUCGAAGUGGGGUCAUGAUUUUCGGCCAGAUUACAGGUUUAUGUUCUUUUGGUUAUCUCUCAAAAGUGUAACCUAACGGCUCUCAUCUCUCUCUAACGGCUCUCUCUCUUCCUCCCUACCCCCUCUCUCGCUAGCUCCGGUCACCGGCCCCCGUCGUCGUCGCCGACCCGACCCAACCUCCGGGCCCGACCUCCGGCGNNNNNNNNNNNNNNNNNNNNNNNNNNNNNNNNNNNNNNNNNNNNNNNNNNNNNNNNNNNNNNNNNNNNNNNNNNNNNNNNNNNNNNNNNNNNNNNNNNNNNNNNNNNNNNNNNNNNNNNNNNNNNNNNNNNNNNNNNNNNNNNNNNNNNNNNNNNNNNNNNNNNNNNNNNNNNNNNNNNNNNNNNNNNNNNNNNNNNNNNNNNNNNNNNNNNNNNNNNNNNNNNNNNNNNNNNNNNNNNNNNNNNNNNNNNNNNNNNNNNNNNNNNNNNNNNNNNNNNNNNNNNNNNNNNNNNNNNNNNNNNNNNNNNNNNNNNNNNNNNNNNNNNNNNNNNNNNNNNNNNNNNNNNNNNNNNNNNNNNNNNNNNNNNNNNNNNNNNNNNNNNNNNNNNNNNNNNNNNNNNNNNNNNNNNNNNNNNNNNNNNNNNNNNNNNNNNNNNNNNNNNNNNNNNNNNNNNNNNNNNNNNNNNNNNNNNNNNNNNNNNNNNNNNNNNNNNNNNNNNNNNNNNNNNNNNNNNNNNNNNNNNNNNNNNNNNNNNNNNNNNNNNNNNNNNNNNNNNNNNNNNNNNNNNNNNNNNNNNNNNNNNNNNNNNNNNNNNNNNNNNNNNNNNNNNNNNNNNNNNNNNNNNNNNNNNNNNNNNNNNNNNNNNNNNNNNNNNNNNNNNNNNNNNNNNNNNNNNNNNNNNNNNNNNNNNNNNNNNNNNNNNNNNNNNNNNNNNNNNNNNNNNNNNNNNNNNNNNNNNNNNNNNNNNNNNNNNNNNNNNNNNNNNNNNNNNNNNNNNNNNNNNNNNNNNNNNNNNNNNNNNNNNNNNNNNNNNNNNNNNNNNNNNNNNNAGUGGGGGGCGCGUGGAUAGCGACGGUAGGCUGAGGGUUGGGUCUUGGAAUAUAGGGACCCUUCAGGGGAAGUCCAUAGAGCUGGUGAAGAUUCUUAGGAAGAGAAGGAUCAACCUUGCGUGUGUCCAAGAGACCAAGUGGGUAGGGUCUAAGGCUAGGGAUGUGGACGGUUACAAGCUGUGGUACUCUGGGAGCGACAGGCGUAGGAAUGGAGUUGGCAUCUUGGUAGAUGAAGAGCUUAGAGGUCAGGUAGUGGAGGUGAAGAGGAUCAACGAUAGGUUGAUGACUAUCAAGUUGGUCAUUCGGGGGUUUACCCUGAACGUGUGUAGUGCCUAUGCGCCGCAUGUGGGAUCGGAGGGGGAGGAGAAGAUGCGGUUCUGGGAGGCCUUGGAGGACGUGGUGAGAGGCGUGCCCAGUUCGGAGAAGAUUGUGGUAGCAGGGGAUUUCAACGGGCACAUCGGGGCGCUACCGGGAGGCUUUGGGGAUGUGCAUGGAGGUUUUGGUUUUGGGGAGAGAAAUGAAGAGGGGGCGACCCUAUUGGAGUUUGCGAGGGCGUUUGGGCUGGUGGUGGUGAACUCGGGCUUCCCGAAGAAGGACGACCACCUGAUCACUUUUCGGAGCGCGGUAGCCAGGACCCAGAUUGACUUCUUGUUGCUUAGGAAAGGGGAUAGGGCGCUGUGUAAAGAUUGUAAAGUCAUCCCGAGUGAGAACCUUUCGACCCAACAUAGGCUCUUGGUUAUGGAUUUGGGUAUGAAGAAGAAUAAAAAGAGGAGGAGUAAGGAGUGUAGACCGAGAAUUAAGUGGGGCGGUUUGACGCCAGUGAAUGCGUGGGAGAUAGGGGAGAGGUUGGCGGGAAUGGGGGUGUGGGAGUGUAGGGGGGACGUGGAUAAUAUGUGGGACAGGGCGGCAGCGUGCAUCAGGGAAAAUGCAAGGGAGGUGUUGGGUGUUUCUAGGGGCCGGGCCGGACAUCAUCGGGGGGAUUGGUGGUGGAAUGAAGAGGUGGGGAAGAAAGUGGAGACCAAGAAAGAGUCGUAUGCUAAGUUGGUGGAAAGUAAGGACGAAGAGGAGAAGCGGGUAAACAGGAAAGAGUACAAGCUAGCGAGGAAGGAGGCGAAGUCAGCGGUCACGGCAGCUAAGACGGCUGCUUUUGAGAGCUUGUAUGCAGGGUUACAGGGGAAAGGAGGGGAGAAAAAGUUGUUCCGACUCGCUAAGGCUAGGGAGAGGAAGGGUCGUGACCUCGAUCAGGUGAGGUGCAUUAAGGGGGAGGACGGUAGAGUGUUGGUGGAGGACGGCCACAUUAAGAAGAGAUGGCAGUCAUACUUUCAUUGGCUCUUGAAUGACGAAGGAGAUAUAGCUAUUGUGUUAGGGGAACUGGAGCACUCAGAGGAGUGUCGGGAUUUUAGCUAUUGUAGACGUUUUAAGGUAGAAGAGGUUAGACAGGCUGUCCGCAGGAUGCGAAGGGGUAGGGCGACGGGGCCGGAUGAGAUACCGGUGGCGUUUUGGAAGUUCGUUGGAGAGGCUGGUGUAAGGUGGUUGACUGGAUUGUUUAAUGAAAUUUUCAGGACGGCAAAGAUGCCCGAGGCGUGGAGGUGGAGUACCAUGAUCCCUCUCUAUAAGAAUAAGGGGGACAUUCAGAGUUGUAAUAACUAUAGGAGGAUUAAGUUAUUGAGUCACUCGAUGAAAAUCUGGGAGAGAGUGAUCGAGGUGAGGCUGAGACGGAUAGUGUCUAUUUCGGAGAACUAGUUCGGAUUUAUGCCCGGCCGCUCGACGACGAAGGCAAUCCACCUGGUACGGAGGUUAGUGGAGCAGUAUAGGGAGAGGAAAAAGGAUCUGCACACGGUGUUUAUCGACCUGGAGAAGGCUUACGACAAAGUCCCCAGGGAGGUGCUUUGGAGAUGCUUGGAGGUGAGUGGGGUACCGCUGACAUAUAUCAGAGUAAUUAAGGAUAUGUAUGAUGGAGCGAAAACCCAGGUGAGGACGUUGGGAGGAGACUCGGAGCAUUCACUGUCCUGACAGGAUUGCAUCAGGGAUCUACUCUUAGUCCCUUUUUGUUUGCGUUGGUGAUGGAUGUGUUGACGCGGCGUAUUCAAGGGGAGGUGCCGUGGUGUAUGCUUUUUGCAGACGAUGUAGUUCUGAUAGAUGAGACUCGAGGGGGUUUGAAUGACAAAAUAGAGGUGUGGAGGCGAACUCUUGAGUCUAAAGAGUUCAGGGUGAGCAGAAGCAAGACAGAGUAUGUGGAAUGCAAGUUUAAUGACGUGAGGCGGGAGAAUGAGGUAGUAGUGAAGCUGGAAGCUCAGGAGGUAUGUAAGAGGGACAAGUUCAAGUAUCUUGGGUCCGUGAUCCAGAGUAACGGUGAGAUUGACGAGGAUGUCUCGCACCGUAUUGGAGCGGUAUGGAUGAAGUGGAAACUCGCGUCGGGGGUGCUGUGUGAUAAGAAGGUCCCCCCAAGCUUAAAGGCAAAUUCUACAGGGUGGUAGUCCGUCCGGCCUUGUUGUAUGGAGCGGAGUGUUGGCCAGUUAAGAACUCCCACAUCCAAAAAAUGAAGGUGGCAGAAAUGCGGAUGUUGCGCUGGAUGUGUGGACUGACUAGAGGGGAUAGAGUUCGGAAUGAGACUAUCCGGGAGAAGGUUGGUGUGACUUCAGUGGAGUGCAAGAUGCGGGAAGCACGAUUGAGAUGGUUCGGACACGUGAAGAGGAGGGGCAUGGAUGCCCCGGUCCGUAGGUGUGAGAGGCUAGCGUUGGAUGGUUUUAGGCGGGGUAGGGGUAGGCCGAAGAAGUACUGGGGUGAGGUGAUUAGGCGGGACAUGGAACAGUUACAGCUCACCGAGGACAUGACCCUAGAUAAGAAGGUCUGGAGGGCGCGAAUUUCGGACUUGGUGGGGGUUUUAUUCUUGUCAUGAUUCCGUGUUCCGUGUUCCAUGUUGUAUUACGAAUCUGUGUGCUUUCCCCUGCUUUCCUCUGCUUUAUAUUACUUAUGCGUGCCGUAUCUAUGUUAUGUAAUCUGCUUCUGUGCUGCACUAUGUGUUUGUGUGGUAUCUCGUGCCUUGAGCCGGGGGUCUAUCGGAAACAACCUUUCUACUUCAUCAGAGGUAGAGGUAUGGACUGCGUACGUCUUACCCCCCCAGACCCCACUAGGUGGGAAUACACUGGGUUUGUUGUUGUUGUUGUUGUUUGGUUAUUUGAUAAAUCAGACUGAUGCUAUUAUUUGGAAUUGGUCUAAAUUCUCAGUAACUGAGCAAGUUUUUUGAUUUAGAUAAAUCUUAUAGUCUCUUUUCCCUGAGUGCACAAAAAUAAGAAGGAACUUCUUAUCCUUCCAUACAUGUGGUAAUUCACAUCAGGGGUGGGGUGGGCUCACCUUCCGAAUUCUGGUUCUAUGUUUGUUUAGGUACUUCAUCAUUCAAAGAGAGUGUUAGCACUAACUUUUAGCAAACAUACAGGGAAUACAACUAACCAAUGAUUGUUGAAAUGGGAAAGUUCGAAAGAAGGUGGUUAGUUCCGUGGUUUGUACACAUAGGCUGCUAAACUACUGUCAAAUGCCAUUUUCUUACUUCUUCUGAGUUCGCUAGCUGUAACAACAUUUAUUUGGUGGAUCGUCCAAUGAAUGAGACUCUAUUCGGUACUCAUUACAAGAGUGGCAAAUGGUUUUUUAGAGUCCACCACUGUCAUCAGCCAUGAGUAGGAUAACUCUGACCUUCUAUUUGGUGUUUCCUCUUCUUUGAUUUCACUGCAUGGAGUUCCCCGACAAAAAAAAUAAAAAUAAAAAUCAUUAUAGGUUGACAGUCCAGCUUUUUGAUUUCGGGGUUCUUGUUCCGAUGGUGAAAAAAAUCUGGAGGGUAGCGUUCUGCUUUUCUGUUCAGCCAGAUGAUAUUUCUUUCCAUCAACUCUUUCUGUGAAAGAACUCCUUAUCAUCAGAAACCAGAGUACGCAUAUGUACACGUUGGAGUGGGUAAUUAUCAGCAUGAGUUUACCCCACUUUGAACCUAGUAUAUGAAGUAGAUGUAGCAAAGUGGACAAAUGUUUCAUAAAUAAACUGUAAAUGGUCGGUGUUAUUCUAUCACAAAAGCUACUUUCACAUUUUCUCAUUAAUCCCCCGCCUUUAGCCUGAGAAAGACACAGACAACCCAACCGUUUUGAUGUAGCCACAUUGCAUCUUAAAAUAUACCAAGGCGGAAAUUGUGAACCUCAGAGAGGCAUAAGUAGUGCAGAAGCAUUCAGUCGAAAAUGCCUGAAUAUUCUUUAUUAUUUUUCUAGAAAUAGCAAAGCACUUGAAUCUCAAGGAUUCUCUGUGUUUCUGUUGCUACUGACACGUAAAUAUCAACACUUUUUUCCUCAUUAAUCUAGUAACAUACCACAACAGCUUUCUUAAGUUCCUUGAGUUUGUUAUCAUCUUGUUGUGAAGAUAGUGCUUGCACUGUAGACGUGCUCAUUUGCUAGACCAGGCUUCAAAUUACACCCGACUCUAGCAUGCCCCAUUUAUUUUCUACUUGUUUCUCUUAUUCAAUUACAGGGACUGAUCUACUAGUUGAGCGUGGAUAUGACCCUUAAUGCAUCAUGCUUAUUAACUUUAAGAAAAUAUCAUGCAUAUGACCAGACAAACUCUGAUAUAUCUCUUAUCCAACUCUGUUGUAGCUAAGCAAAAACUUCAGGAAAAUAUUGACACAAAUUUUCCAUGUAUCAUAGGCGAUUGUCCAUUUUGAGAGAGAACUUUAGUAUGGAUACCAUGAAGUCUCUGAAGUUUAAUGUUCCAAUCAUGGCACUGACUGCUACUGCUACUACUCGUGUUCGAGAAGACAUUCUCCAGUCAUUGCACAUGUCAAAGGCAACUCAAAUUGUUCUCACUUCGUUUUUCCGGCCUAAUCUUCGAUUUUCAGUAAGUUAAUCUACACUGUGCUAUGUUAUUCCUUAUAUGUCCUACAUUUGCAUUUGCAGCACCUUUUCACUCUUCUUAUUUUUUUAAUAGUCGGGGGGAGUUAAAUUCUUCAUAAACUCAAUACUUUUUCUUUUUGAUAACCAUGGUUUUCGGGCUAGCUUGCAUCGACCUCGACUAAUUCCACGGGAUGCCUUAUUCCUCCCUCUAGCAACAAGUACUUGGUAAUGUUGUCCACUAAGGCUAGGACAGAUGGGAAGCAAUUACCUAGUAUUUUUGUCCCUAGGAUUUUAACGUGAGACCUCAUGGUUCUCAAGUCACGUCAUUGACCACUAGACCACACCCUUGGGUGCUAGAAAGAAAAAGUCGGUGCUGAAAUCAUGAUAUUAUGUUUGCCGAUCAAUUACGUUCAGUAUUGCAGUCAAGAACUAAAUUACUACCUUCUUCGACCAUAGUUAUGGUCUUUUAAACUUGAUCCUUCGUCUUUGUGUCACUUUAUAUCUGCUGCAUAAUGCCAUGAAAGGGCUGCUGCAUAUUAAUAAAGUUUUCAUUGAGUGUUUCUACUUUCUAGUUUUGUUUUUGCUACAGUAUUAGUGUCUGAACCUUCUAAAGAUACAGUUUUCAUUGUCUGUACAUAUGCUGAUAGAAAUCAUAGUAAAUCACUUCGUUUCUGCUGCUUGCAGGUGAAACACUCUAAAACAUCAUCUUUAGCAUCCUACAAGGAGGAUUUGCAUGAAUUGAUAAGCUCUUAUUCCAGAAAAGGGAAGUCUCACCGGAAAGAUAAGUUAAUGUCUACAAAUCUGGAGAACUCUGAAAGCUCUGAUAAUGCUUCAAAUGGUUACAUGGAUGAAUAUAAUGGAACCAAUGAGGUUAAUGUAGACGACGUUGAGGGGGAUGAUGUUUCUGAGAGUGAUAAUGAAGUAUGUUCUCCUGGGAGAUAUGGUUUAGGUUCUUUGAAGGAUAGACAAUUGUCUGUUGAGUAUCUGGAAGAUGAGUGUGAUAUUGUGCAAGAUGUUGAUGAUCUGGAUGGUAAAACUCUGGUUUUUGUGAAAAUAUCCGUUUAGACAGUACAAAUCAAAUUUAAGAGAGAAUUUGAUUGACCGCAUCUUCCAUGGCACUAAAGAUACACAACCAGCAACUCGAUCUGUUACAAAAAGCCAUUGCAGAGACCUUGAAAUUUUUUUAUGUAAACAUAGAGAAAUUUUUGGAAACAGCCUCUUGCAUAAAUGCAAGGUAAGGCUGCGUACGAUACAACCUUGUGGUGGGGCCCUUCCCUGGAUACCGCGCAUAGCGGUAGCUUUAGUGCACUAGGCUGCCCUUUAAACAUAGAGAAUUUUGAAAAUUUUAAUACUAAUUACCUUAGAGUGGAUUGAAAUAACUCCUUUUGUGUUGUCGUAGCUGCAACAGUACUUUCAUCUACAUUCUAAAGUGUUUUAAGUUUCGACAAUCUAUCAUCACAUCGGUGCAAGAUUCUUUAGUAUGAGAUUUCAAGAGGCUAUAACCUUAGCUUGAGAAGAUAUAGAUUAUCCCUGGUAAUUUGAUAGAAGGAAAAGCCUUGCAUCAUCUUAUCCUAUGACACAAGUCUCUUAAUAUAUGAUCAAAAGACCACAUGUGAUAAAAGUAUCUCAUCCUACUCUUUCUUGCAUUCUCGAACUUGACCUUUUUGUGUCGUAGAUACUCUCUCCAUUUUUAAACCAAACAAGGGAAAUAAUUUUUUGUGGAGUUUUCUAAGCCUCGAACUGGUAUUGUUGCUGCCAUGUGACCAGGAGGUCACGGGUUCAAGCCUUGGAAACAGCCUCUUGCAUUUCAUGCAAGGUAAGGUUGUGUACAAUACACCCUUGUGGUGGAUCCCUUCCCCGGACACUGAACAUAGCGGUAGCUUUAGUGCACCGGGCUGCCCUUUUUUCCUAAGCCUCGAACUGGCAAUCUAGCAAUUUAAGUAAAGACUUCAUCGUCUCAUCCAGGAUGCUUUUUAGGGGUUUCCUCAAUUUCUCACCAUCUACCUAGAAUGUAAACUUAUCAUUUUAAAUUGUAAGCUUGGUCAUUUACUCCUAUAGUUACUUUAUAAUAAAUUGUACUGAUAUCAUAAAUUGCUGCAGUUUCUUGUGGUGAAUUUAGUGGAAAACUACCACUGAAAGGUUAUAGUGGUUUUCUGUUGCCCAAAACGCCCAAUAAUCCAGAAGAAAGAGCAAAGCUUCAGCAUGAACCUUUGGAGGAUGGUCCAACAAUAAUCUAUGUCCCAACUAGGAAAGAAACAUUAAGUAUAUCAAAAUUUCUUUCUAGAUUUGGGAUCAAGGCUGCUGCUUACAAUGCUAAGGUAAUUUAUAUAUCCAAUCAGUUAAAGAGAUUAUAUUGCUCUCCCACUGAUUUUAAUGAUGCUGUGUUCAUUCCGCCACCAAACUAUAAUUGUUUGAAGGACUUGGGAUAUUUUGCAUAGCCUUAUGAUGUAGGAGCAUGGCUUUUAAGCAGGCAUUUGGAUAUGAUCUGAAAUUAUUGAUUUGAAGUUGAAAUUUUGUUUUGACAUGCAGUUUGGAUUUCAAAAAUUGUACUCUUUAGGAUGCCAAAUACCAUAGUUGUGAAAGUGAACUAAAGGUGAUCAUAAGCAUGUUGUUCAAUUGGUUUGCUUCCAUGUAAUUAGGCUUAUCUUGUCAUUGUGAUAUUAUGUGGUAGAUGCUCUGCCAGAUUGGAGUUGACGUCUAAAAAGUAAAAGUUUCACAGCCCAAGCCCUUGGACAUGCCUGCUUUUGAUCAACAUACCUUACAGAUUUGUCUCUUAGGCUACACCACC
Molecule: long non-coding RNA, 33160 nt
Filed under: Capsicum annuum
Lineage: Eukaryota; Viridiplantae; Streptophyta; Magnoliopsida; Solanales; Solanaceae
Description: long non-coding RNA (CANN_LNC013062)
Source: RNAcentral